ACCAAGUAUACCACAAGACCAUUACCCUUAUACUCUUUAACCACAUCUUCCCAGAAUGUGUGAAAUAAUCAAAUGACUUUUUUUUCGAGUGGAAUCGCCGACGUCUACAAGCAGCUAUAACUGGUUUCGCAGCUGCGAGUUUCACAAUUCCAUGGUGGAUUUGUUCUGCAAAGAUGAUGAGUUUUGGCACCAAAGCAGCCUUUUCAAUCCCCAAAACCAAUCUUUUCCAGCUCCAAGCUGCUCUCUUUCACUCCUCUCCUGUUCUUGAACGCAAAAGACGCAAUUUUUGUGAUGCUAGUCAUAGAUCCAGAAAUAGAUCCAACAAUUAUUCUAGGAGGUCCAGGAGGUUAAAUGCAAAUGAAGCAUUACUGCGUAAUAUCGGUGCUUAUGCAGACCACCUAUUUCAGUCUCUACACUAUAUCAAGUUUGGCUUGUCCCUCUAACCAAUGCUAAUAGAUGGAGUAGCAAUGACAUAAAGGUUGGAGAGAGUUAUAGAUCCAACAAUUAUUCUAGGAGGUCCAGUAGGUUAAAUGCAAAGGAAGCGUUACUGCAUAAUAUCGGUUCUUAUGCAGAUCACCUAUUUCAGAGUUGGCAUGAUGGUUUUGAUGAGGAAGAUCCAUCUUCAAGUAGCGGCCCCUCAUGGUUUAGACAACAAUACUCUAAGGGAUCAAGAAAGGACAUGAAUGACAAUCGGAGAACCACGAGUUGGGGUAAAAGUACGUACCAUGAAGUAUUUACACUUUGGUGUAGGGGUUAGGGGAGAGAUUGACUGCCUCAGUUAUUAUUCUCCUUGUUUGAUUGAGUUUUUUGGGAGGAAGAGUUAUUUAGGGUAA
Populus trichocarpa (black cottonwood) is the source of this 833-nucleotide RNA transcript. RefSeq lists it as uncharacterized. NCBI's taxonomy places the organism in Eukaryota, Viridiplantae, Streptophyta, Magnoliopsida, Malpighiales, Salicaceae. The record is from RefSeq and is a predicted model, not a curated record. The transcript has 5 exons.